GUGUCAGCAGCCGCGGUAAUACGUAGGCAGCAAGCGUUGUUCGGAAUUACUGGGCGUAAAGAGUGUGUAGGCGGUGCUCUAAGUUUGGUGUGAAAUCUCCCGGCUCAACUGGGAGGGUGCGCCGAAGACUGGAGUGCUCGAGGGAUGGAGAGGUAAGCGGAAUUCCUGGUGUAGCGGUGAAAUGCGUAGAUAUCAGGAGGAACACCUGUGGUGUAGACAGCUUACUGGACAUCUUCUGACGCUGAGACACGAAAGCGUGGGUAGCAAACAGGAUUAGAAACCCGCGUAGUCC
RNAcentral lists this ribosomal RNA (292 nucleotides) under uncultured bacterium. RNAcentral's name for it is "partial 16S ribosomal RNA". It matches the Rfam family "Bacterial small subunit ribosomal RNA", at positions 505 to 796 of the family's 1533-position model. The record is from RNAcentral.